RNAcentral lists this ribosomal RNA (382 nucleotides) under uncultured bacterium. RNAcentral describes it as "partial 16S ribosomal RNA". It matches the Rfam family "Bacterial small subunit ribosomal RNA", at positions 355 to 735 of the family's 1533-position model. The record is from RNAcentral.
UGGGGAAUUUUGGACAAUGGGCGAAAGCCUGAUCCAGCAAUGCCGCGUGUGUGAAGAAGGCCUUCGGGUUGUAAAGCACUUUUGUCCGGAAAGAAAUCCUUGGCUCUAAUACAGUCGGGGGAUGACGGUACCGGAAGAAUAAGCACCGGCUAACUACGUGCCAGCAGCCGCGGUAAUACGUAGGGUGCAAGCGUUAAUCGGAAUUACUGGGCGUAAAGCGUGCGCAGGCGGUUUGCUAAGACCGAUGUGAAAUCCCCGGCUCAACCUGGACUGCAUGGUGACUGGCAGGCUAGAGUAUGGCAGAGGGGGGUAGAAUUCCACGUGUAGCAGUGAAAUGCGUAGAGAUGUGGAGGAAUACCGAUGGCGAAGGCAGCCCCUGGCC